GAAUUAGCCCAUAAGAACCUUCUAAAGACAUGACAUAAUUUUCUGGAAUUUUCCAAGCUGUUUAAAGGCACAGUCAACUUAGUGUAUGUAAACUUCUGACCCACUGGAAUGUGAUACAUGUGAUACAUGUGAUACAUCACUGUGAUACAGUGAAUUCUGUGAAAUAAUUAUUAUAAUAAUUAUUUCUGUGAAAUAAUCUGUCUGUAAACAAUUGUUGGAAAAAUUACUUGUCAUGCACAAAGUAGAUGUGCAUGACACAACUUGCCGAAACUAUAAGAAGAAAUUUGUGGAGUGGUUGCAAAACAAGUUUUAAUGACUCCAACCUAAGUAUUUGUAAACCUCCGACUUCAACUCUGUCUUACCAGAGUCUACAGUUCUAUCCUGCCGAUACAGUGUAUGUUAUUCAUGUCGUCGUUCAUCCAAGACUCGGUGAAACAUAAGAUAUUACCAUCCCAUUGGUAGGAUAUACAUGCUUGUAGUAAGUCUAUUUUAUUUUCAAAUGAUUGUACGUUGGCUAAUAGUACCGAUGGGAAAUGCAAAUUACCCACUCACCACCUGUGAUGGCAGAAACAUUAUGUGCAAAAUAAGUUACAAAUAACCCAGAAAAACACACACAAUAGCACAAUUGGUUAGGAGACUGUAAAACAUGUUUGCAAUUUCUUUUCCUAAAUGAGAAUGCAUUUGUGACAAUUCUAAUUGAAAUGGAAAACAUAUAAUGCAUUAUCAUUUUCAUGAUUGUAUAUGCAUAAUAUCUGACAAUUUGAAAAAUAAAUAGCAAAUUGUGUUUGAUAUUUCAUUUCCAUGGUGCUAUCCAGUACAACACUGACACAUCACUAAAUGUUCAAAUGACAAAUCAUUUAUCAUGUUUGCCAUUUCAUUUGCUUGUUGCGAUAGCAUGAAUUGUGACAAAAAUUAAAAUUAUUCUCAAUUUGCAAUUCACCAUUUUUUUACAUACUCUGUGUGGUUUAAGACUGUCAAAAUUGUUAUGGUCAAUCAAAUUCCAUAAAUCAAUUGCAAUGCUUCAUUUUUCUAUUUAGUUUCCUUCAUUUCGUGUCAAUCAAACACGGUGGGCGGGGUUCCGGUUACCUGAGGCAGAAGACAUUUCCUGUGCUUGCUGUCAACAGUCGCUUUCGGUUGUAGCUGUACUGAUAUGGCAUGUUUUAGGCUAUCCCGGCAACAGCCAGUGAGAAACCCCACAGAAGAAGAACAUCCAGUGUGUGCGAGGAGUUUGUGAGUGGGGACUAUAAAGCUCAGUGUAGGGGACACUGGAAGCUACUAGUAGCUAGCUAAUAUGGCUAUUAUAUGUAGCUAGCUACCGGUAGGUAACAUAGCUAGCUAGUAGAUUUAGAGAGCUUUUGGCAGCAUUCUACCUUCUCCCUACAGUUCUCAACCAUUAGAUUCACCAACGGCUGCCUCAUGUGAACUACAAACCCAACGCUGUGUUUUAAUGUUUAGAAACGUCAAUAAUCAUAUCUUGUGAUACAGCUUUCGAAACAUAUGGCCCUUAUCUUUCACCAGCGAGAACGAAUCUUUCAAAUAAAAAAGACACACUUACUGUAGCAGUUUUGCCCAACUCAAUACAGGUAUGGGUGCCUCCAUCCAACGAAACUACCCUUAUGCUACACUUCCUGAGUUACGCUUACACACAGGUGUUCGAAGCAUUCAAGAUAGCUAGUUAGCACAGGUGGUCGCCUCUUGAGCUGUAACAUGGAGGUAGGGCCGUGUGAGAACCUUAACCCCAUCAAACUGUGUCGAAUUUUAGGCCUGAUAUGAAAGAUUACUCUAGCCCACUGGCUAGCCUAGCUAGCUAGUUACCUUCACAACAAGACAUUGUGGAAGUAAGUAUCCCAUAUUAGGUACUGUUACUUAGAUAGAUCAGAGGCAGAGUUUGCAAGCAUAGAGGUAGAUACCACCCUGCAUCCCACUGCAGGCUUGCUUCUGAAGCUAAGCAGGGUCUGAUUGGUCAUGGUCGGUCCCUAGAUUUGAGACCAGAUGCUCCUAGAAGUGGUGUUGGAGGGCCAGUAGCAGGCACCAUUUCCUCUGGUCUAAAAAAAAUAUCCCAAUGCCCCAGGGCAGUGAUUGGUGACAUUGCCCUGUGUAGGGUGGGACGUUAAACGGGUGUCCUGACUCUCUGUGGUCACUAACGAUUCCAUGGCACUUAUCCUUACAGUAGGGGUGUUAACCCCGGUGUCCUGGCUAAAUUCUCAAUCUGGCCCUCAUACCAUCACGGUCACCUAAUCAUCCCCAGCUUACAAUUGGCUCAUUCAUCUCCUCUCCUCUCCCCUUUAACUAUUCCCCAGGUUGUUGCUGUAAAUGAGAAUGUGUUCUCAGUCAGCUUACCUGGUAAAAUAAGGGUACAUUUUUAUUUAUUUUUAUACCGUUUGCAAGUCAUUACUUGGCAGUGAUUGUGCAACCCAAAGACACAUUGUGCUACACUGUGAACAGACUCAAUGAUUUGGACUUUUGUCCUGAUUGUCCUCCCUUUUACCAAAGUGUGCCCUUUCAAACUUCCAUGAUGAGGAGUUUGCUAGUGCACACCAUAAUACAAGGGUGGAGACUUGGGAUGUAGCCCUCAGGCACUCUCUCAACCACCUAUAUGCCUAUUCCUGUAGCUGAGGGUUUUAGCGAUAUUGCAAUGAGGGGAUUUGAUUAAGCUGGCCUGGGUGGGCAGAGAUUGCACCAGGUGAAAGUGAUUGUUUUGAAAAUCGGGCCGCCGCCCCCCCAGGUGUGAGCCGGGUGCCCUGGCGAAAUCGGCUCAAAACAAAGUGACGUUUGUCAAGAAUGUGGAGUAAUGAUUUAGGAUUCAGUGUUGUUUGCUCUUGGUAAAAAAAAACUAAUAUUUACCUUAUUUGCCUUCCCAAGUAAAACUAGUAAAAUUCUAUCAUAUACUUUAUGGAAAAUACAUGUUGCAUAUUUCUGAACAAUGAACCGUGAUGUCUUGUUGACGAUAUGACUUGGCGGCGCAGAUUACUGUUCGUGUUGAGCAGGGCGCUCCUCCUCCCUCUCCGCUUUCGGGCCAUGUCACGAGCCAUAGCCCGGUGCACCCCGGUCCAGUUGAAUUAAACUCCCUCAAUAUAACUCUACUCUAUGACAUGGUAGUGUACACAGUAUAAUACAAAUCUAAUUCUAUUCAUCUUGUAGUCCCAUGAUCCUCCCCCACUGAGUUAUUGUAUGUUAUAUUUUGUUUAUUGUAAAUCAAGCUUUCGUUUGCAUGCUAGUAAACGUCAACGUUACAGUAUUUCAUUAUUUUAUCCCGCAGGGGACAGUAACAGAGACUUUGUAAGGGGGCAGAUAAUCUAUGAUAGAGAUUGAUUAUGAGUUCCUGUUGUCUGAUUUGAAGGCUACAAAAGGUAUUUUUGGAAGAAAAUAGCUAAUUAGCUCAUUUUCCCCAGACCUGACAGUGUGCCUUUCAACUAAUCUAUUUUGUGUUCCAACCCUCAGGAAACUAUGAUGUAAUUUCUGUGUACGGGCAACCCCAACAGCUCCUCCAGCAGAAGCUGCUUCCUCCUGCCUUCCAGAUGCUGCUGACCAAGUUGUCCACCAUCUGACAGGUAAUGAUGCUCUCCCACAGGAAGCAAGGGCUGAAGGGGCACCAACAUGGCUGAAAGAUGUCUUGCUACCCUGACCCCCCCCCCAUUCCUGUGGCCUGCACUGGUUACUCCCCUUCAUAGAAUGGACUAAAGAUCAAUGGAAUUGUACAUUUGGUUAAUGUAGUUCAGUGUUCCUCUUUCUUGCCUAAUGGACAACAGUGGGAACAUUGUCAUCCCUACCUGUGCUGCAACGCCUAAUUGAACUACUCAAUAAGACCACACUUGGGCGGUUCUGGCUGAUGACCUGUCGCCAUAGCUGAUAGAAACCCAGAAGGAAUAUCAUCCCCAAUGAUACUGCUAAUAUUAGUAACUGUACUGAUGAGGAACAGGAGGGCAGGCUUAUCCAUUGUCCCUGAACUGCUUGAAGUGUAGAGUCAAAAUGACAGUGCCACUUUGUUACCGCUAGUCACAUGUUUGAGAAGAUGUUCUGCAAAAAUAAUAACAAUACAGAGAUGGUCUUGCUCUUCAAUGAGGUUCUGACAAUCAUAUGUUGGAAUCCAUUAUAAAGAAAACCUACAGUAGUUGAACACUCUGUGUAGGUAGUAACCUGUUUGUUGAACGCCAGUGAUUCUAAGAACAAAAAUAACUGUUACCUGUAGGACAAUGUCUCUAUCACAGGUCACCAAGGGUACAACAAGGCAUAUCCUUAAUAAAAUACAUUUUCAUGGCUAAUUGUGCAUGCCUCUCAUUUCCCACUUAAUAUGCAAUAUAGUUAUACCUAUGGCUUGCAUAACCAACUCAGUGCCCUUGUUGUUAGUGUCCUACCUAAGAGUUGAAGGUUGGACAGUUCAAUCCCUGACCGAGUCAUACCAAAGACUGUAAAAAUGGGACCCGAUGCGUCUCUGCUUGGCACUCAAGAUAGAUUGGGGGUAAGGCCCUGCGAUAGACUAGCGUCCUAUCCAGGGGGUGUACUUGUACAUCAAGCUGCCUCACAUUACAGAAACAGGAGAUAUGCUCCUGCUCCU
This is a long non-coding RNA of Oncorhynchus tshawytscha (Chinook salmon), 4555 nucleotides long. Lineage: Eukaryota; Metazoa; Chordata; Actinopteri; Salmoniformes; Salmonidae. The record is from Ensembl.